GGUAGCGCAAUCACUUGUCUUUUAAAUGAAGACCUGUAUGAAUGGCAUCACGAGGGCUUAGCUGUCUCCUCUNUCAAGUCAAUGAAAUUGAUCUGCCCGUGCAGAAGCGGACAUAAGAACAUAAGACGAGAAGACCCUAUGGAGCUUUAGACACCCGGGAGACCCUGUUAAGUAGCUGAACUAUCAGAUUAAAACAAAGCGGCCCCUGGCCUACAUGUCUUCGGUUGGGGCGACCACGGGGGAAAACAAAGCCCCCACGAGGAUUAAGGAAAACCUCCUUAUAACCACGAGCGACAGCUCUAAGUCUCAGAACUUCUGACCAAAAAGAUCCGACACCAGUCGAUCAACGGACCAAGUUACCCUAGGGAUA
RNAcentral lists this ribosomal RNA (370 nucleotides) under Esox lucius (northern pike). RNAcentral describes it as "partial 16S ribosomal RNA". It matches the Rfam family "Bacterial large subunit ribosomal RNA", at positions 1955 to 2476 of the family's 2925-position model. Lineage: Eukaryota; Metazoa; Chordata; Actinopteri; Esociformes; Esocidae. The record is from RNAcentral.